GGAGACACAGAGGGAGAUUACUACAGUUUGGAGGAAGUUUGUCUUGGAACGGAAGAAGAUGAACGGUGUUUGUUAGAGGGGAAUAGCAAAACGUCCGGUCGUUUAAUAUAUUAUUAUUUAUUAUAAGAGUGUUUUGGUAAAAUUUGGUCAUGAAUGAUUUAUGGGGUACGGCUACCUACCUUAAACUUUUAUUGUUCUUAUUUUCUAAUAUACGAAGAAAAAAGUUAUAUUAUAAAGCAAUAUGUCUAGUCGUCUAUAUAUUAUCAUUUAUUAAAAUAGUGUUUUGGUAUUUGCUUUUGUGCGUAUG
RNAcentral lists this unclassified non-coding RNA (307 nucleotides) under Hevea brasiliensis (rubber tree). The record is from RNAcentral. Lineage: Eukaryota; Viridiplantae; Streptophyta; Magnoliopsida; Malpighiales; Euphorbiaceae.